UUAAUUGUGAAGUUAGCACUGAAGGAAGCGAGACUGCAAAAUCUGGUACUGACGAACAGAAUCAAGCGAAGCGUAUCACGAACACAAAUAAAAAUAAACAAUAAUAGUGAGUAAACGGAAUAUGAGGCAAUAAAACUUGGAUAAGUAAGCACACCUUUACGACGUCCCAAAUUUUGGAGUUUUAUUGUAGAUUCCGCAGGCAUUAGCGGAGCCAUCUCAU
Non-coding RNA from Bacteroidetes bacterium GWF2_33_38, 220 nucleotides. NCBI's taxonomy places the organism in Bacteria, Pseudomonadati, Bacteroidota. The record is from Rfam.